RNAcentral lists this microRNA precursor (72 nucleotides) under Bovine herpesvirus type 1.2 strain K22. RNAcentral's name for it is "miRNA Bhv1-mir-B9-1". The record is from RNAcentral. Lineage: Duplodnaviria; Heunggongvirae; Peploviricota; Herviviricetes; Herpesvirales; Orthoherpesviridae.
GGCCUCCAGUGUUCGCACAAAGCUCAAUAAGUUUAUAUAUAUAUUAUUGGCCCGAGUGCGAGCCCUGGGACC